This 216-nucleotide unclassified non-coding RNA is filed under the name Hevea brasiliensis (rubber tree). Lineage: Eukaryota; Viridiplantae; Streptophyta; Magnoliopsida; Malpighiales; Euphorbiaceae. The record is from RNAcentral.
CCCAGAAGACGAGGAAUCUGCUUGAUGACAGAUUCUGAAGCCAAAAACGCAUGGUACUGCUUGGCGAGUUUCUUGACCAAUUUCUUGUUCUUGUUUAGUUUCUUCAAUGCUUCCACAUCCAUCCACUGCAAACCUAUUCCCUCUGCCUCCUCAACAUGCUGAGCAUCACCAAGCAUGCAAAUUUUCAUUUUGGGCCGGGGAAUAUGUGGCAGCUUC